GACGAACGCUGGCGGCGUGCCUAAUACAUGCAAGUAGGACGCAGUUGCGAACGGGUGAGUAACGCGUAGGUAACUACCUCUUAGAGGGGGAUAACUAUUGGAAACGAUAGCUACUACCGCCUACUAGUAGAUGGACCUUCGUUGUAUUAGCUAGUAGGUAGGGUAAUGGCCUCCCGAGGCAACGAUACAUAGCCGAGCUGAGAGGGGGAUCGGCCAAAAUGGGAAUGAGAGACGGCAGAGAAUGCGACGGGAGGCAGAAGGAGGGAAGCGUCGGGAAGGGGGGGAACCCUGACAGAGCAACGCGGCGUGAGUGAAGAAGGUUUUCGGAUCGUAAAGCUAUGUUGUUAGGGAAGCGUUACGUAACCAGAAAGGGACGGCUAACUACGUGCCAGCAGCCGCGGUAAUUC
RNAcentral lists this ribosomal RNA (407 nucleotides) under uncultured bacterium. RNAcentral's name for it is "partial 16S ribosomal RNA". It matches the Rfam family "Bacterial small subunit ribosomal RNA", at positions 28 to 526 of the family's 1533-position model. The record is from RNAcentral.